UGUGUGUGUGUGUGUGUGUGUGUGAGACCGGGUGAGUGUGUCUGUGUGUUUACACCUGAGUGUUAACGUUUCUAAAUACGGGUCUGUUUGUGUGUUAGCCUACGAUGACAGACAACUGGAGGGUCACAACUAACUCUGUUUACUUUCUUAACCCUUUUUCUAACACACUGAGAAACCACUGUCCUGUAAAAUACAAGAUGGCCUACUUCCCUCAGUCUAUCCCUCCUCCCCACCUCCCCCUGAUUCAACACAGUGUGUUUGUACAGCCGUCAGUGUGUGGCCACUGCAUACAAUGGGGGUUUGACGCCGUGUCGGGUCGCCUCGUUUCCCGUUUCCUCAUCUUCUGGUUGCAUUAAACUGUCAGAACCCAGGGUUCCUUCCAGGGCCAAGUGAUGACGGUCCUCAUCUUCUGGUUGCAUUAAACUGUCAGAACCCAGGGUUCCUUCCAGGGCCAAGUGAUGACGGUCCUCAUCUUCUGGUUGCAUUAAACUGUCAGAACCCAGGGUUCCUUCCAGGGCCAAGUGAUGACGGUCCUCAUCUUCUGGUUGCAUUAAACUGUCAGAACCCAGGGUUCCUUCCAGGGCCAAGUGAUGACGGUCCUCAUCUUCUGGUUGCAUUAAACUGUCAGAACCCAGGGUUCCUUCCAGGGCCAAGUGAUGACGGUCCUCAUCUUCUGGUUGCAUUAAACUGUUAGAACCCAGGGUUCCUUCCAGGGCCAAGUGAUGACGGUCCUCAUCUUCUGGUUGCAUUAAACUGUCAGAACCCAGGGUUCCUUCCAGGGCCAAGUGAUGACGGUCCUCAUCUUCUGGUUGCAUUAAACUGUCAGAACCCAGGGUUCCUUCCAGGGCCAAGUGAUGACGGUCCUCAUCUUCUGGUUGCAUUAAACUGUCAGAACCCAGGGUUCCUUCCAGGGCCAAGUGAUGACGGUCCUCAUCUUCUGGUUGCAUUAAACUGUCAGAACCCAGGGUUCCU
Oncorhynchus keta (chum salmon) is the source of this 972-nucleotide long non-coding RNA. RefSeq lists it as uncharacterized. The transcript is spliced from 3 exons. Lineage: Eukaryota; Metazoa; Chordata; Actinopteri; Salmoniformes; Salmonidae. The record is from RefSeq and is a predicted model, not a curated record.